AAGACCUUGCGCUUUUGGAGCGGCCGAUGCCUGAUUAGCUUGUUGGUAAGGUAAAAGCUUACCAAGGCUUCGAUCAGUAGCUGGUCUGAGAGGACGGCCAGCCACACUGGGACUGAGACACGGCCCAGACUCCUACGGGAGGCAGCAGUGGGGAAUUUUGGACAAUGGGGGCAACCCUGAUCCAGCCAUGCCGCGUGAGUGAAGAAGGCCUUCGGGUUGUAAAGCUCUUUCAGCCGGAACGAAACGGUUACGGUUAAUACCCGUGAUUACUGACGGUACCGGAAGAAGAAGCACCGGCUAACUACGUGCCAGCAGCCGCGGUAAUACGUAGGGUGCGAGCGUUAAUCGGAAUUACUGGGCGUAAAGSGUGCGCAGGUGGUUUUGUAAGUCAGAUGUGAAAGCCCCGGGCUCAACCUGGGAACU
RNAcentral lists this ribosomal RNA (423 nucleotides) under uncultured bacterium. RNAcentral describes it as "bacterial SSU rRNA". It matches the Rfam family "Bacterial small subunit ribosomal RNA", at positions 207 to 622 of the family's 1533-position model. The record is from RNAcentral.